CGAUUGGUUCUAUUUUGUUGGUUUCUAGGACCAUCGUAAUGAUUAAUAGGGACGGUCGGGGGCAUCAGUAUUCAGUUGUCAGAGGUGAAAUUCUUGGAUUUACUGAAGACUAACUACUGCGAAAGCAUUUGUCAAGGACGUUUUCAUUAAUCAAGAACGAAAGUUAGGGGAUCGAAGAUGAUCAGAUACCGUCGUAGUCUUAACCAUAAACUAUGCCGACUAGGGAUCGGGCGGUGCCUUUUAUUGGCCCACUCGGCACCUUACGAGAAAUCAAAGUUUUUGGGUUCUGGGGGGAGUAUGGUCGCAAGGCUGAAACUUAAAGGAAUUGACGGAAGGGCACCACCAGGAGUGGAGCCUGCGGCUUAAUUUGACUCAACACGG
Molecule: ribosomal RNA, 381 nt
Filed under: uncultured fungus
Lineage: Eukaryota; Fungi
Description: SSU rRNA
Rfam family: Eukaryotic small subunit ribosomal RNA
Source: RNAcentral